ACACUACUGAGGAGUCCCACAAUAGGACGAAACGGCCGUCCGGUGU
Molecule: non-coding RNA, 46 nt
Filed under: Schistosoma haematobium
Lineage: Eukaryota; Metazoa; Platyhelminthes; Trematoda; Strigeidida; Schistosomatidae
Source: RNAcentral